AUGGAGCUGAGCCUUCUCCUCACCUUACCAGGUGGCUGCCACCCUUACCCUACCCUUCGAUGUCGUGAAGACACAGCGACAAAUGUCACUGGGAGCAGUGGAGGCUAUGAGAGGUGAGCUGGGGUUAGUGAGGGUGUCGGUCAGGCCGGGGCCCGGAACUGAGUCCUACUGAGCCGGGCCUUGCAUCUGCAGUGAAGCCGCCAAGAGUUGACUCCACCUGGCUCCUGCUUCGGAGAAUCCAGGCUGAAUCUGGCACCAGGGGACUCUUUGCAGGUUUCCUCCCCAGGAUCAUCAAGGCUGCGCCCUCCUGCGCCAUCAUGAUCAGCACUUACGAGUUUGGCAAAAGCUUCUUCCACAGGCUCAACCAGGAGCAGCCUCUGGGCCACUGAAGGUUGAGGAGCAACUGGCUC
Molecule: long non-coding RNA, 410 nt
Filed under: Rattus norvegicus (Norway rat)
Lineage: Eukaryota; Metazoa; Chordata; Mammalia; Rodentia; Muridae
Description: long non-coding RNA NONRATT006089
Source: RNAcentral